GCCGGAGUGGACAAAUUGGUAAAGCCGCUCGGUUGAGGGCCGAGAGCUCGAGAGAGGUUGGGGGUUCGAAUCCCCCCUCUGGCA
RNAcentral lists this transfer RNA (84 nucleotides) under Myxococcales bacterium. RNAcentral's name for it is "tRNA-Leu". It matches the Rfam family "tRNA". Rfam says of the family: Transfer RNA (tRNA) molecules are approximately 80 nucleotides in length. Lineage: Bacteria; Pseudomonadati; Myxococcota; Myxococcia; Myxococcales. The record is from RNAcentral.